Molecule: ribosomal RNA, 253 nt
Filed under: uncultured bacterium
Lineage: Bacteria
Description: partial 16S ribosomal RNA
Rfam family: Bacterial small subunit ribosomal RNA
Source: RNAcentral
UACGUAGGGUGCGAGCGUUGUCCGGAAUUAUUGGGCGUAAAGAGCUCGUAGGCGGUUUGUCGCGUCGGCCGUGAAAACUUGGGGCUUAACCCCAAGCUUGCGGUCGAUACGGGCAGACUUGAGUUCGGCAGGGGAGACUGGAAUUCCUGGUGUAGAGGUGAAAUGCGCAGAUAUCAGGAGGAACACCGGUGGCGAAGGCGGGUCUCUGGGCCGAUACUGACGCUGAGGAGCGAAAGCGUGGGGAGCGAACAGG